RNAcentral lists this small RNA (229 nucleotides) under Pongo abelii (Sumatran orangutan). RNAcentral's name for it is "processed transcript". The record is from RNAcentral. Lineage: Eukaryota; Metazoa; Chordata; Mammalia; Primates; Hominidae.
GACUUGAGGACCGAGGCUGGGAGCCCCAGCCUGCACUCGGCCCUACAGCUACACGUUAUCAUGAGGCUGGGAGCCCCGCCCGCGCUUGGCCUGACAGCCUUUCCUGUCACACGUUAUCACCUAUCUAGUCCUACCGACGGUUUCAAGGAAGUGGAUCCGUGACAUUCUGCAGCUAGUCCACUACUCCAAGGUAACUAUCGACUUGGUUUUAGUGAAUCUAUUUUGUUUU